RNAcentral lists this ribosomal RNA (497 nucleotides) under uncultured bacterium. Its description in RNAcentral is "partial 16S ribosomal RNA". It matches the Rfam family "Bacterial small subunit ribosomal RNA", at positions 28 to 507 of the family's 1533-position model. The record is from RNAcentral.
GAUGAACGCUGGCGGCGUGCCUAAUACAUGCAAGUCGAACGCAUAGCGAAAGGUGCUUGCACCUUUCAAGUGAGUGGCGAACGGGUGAGUAACACGUGGACAACCUGCCUCAAGGCUGGGGAUAACAUUUGGAAACAGAUGCUAAUACCGAAUAAAACUUAGUGUCGCAUGACACAAAGUUAAAAGGCGCCUCGGCGUCACCUAGAGAUGGAUCCGCGGUGCAUUAGUUAGUUGGUGGGGUAAAGGCCUACCAAGACAAUGAUGCAUAGCCGAGUUGAGAGACUGAUCGGCCACAUUGGGACUGAGACACGGCCCAAACUCCUACGGGAGGCUGCAGUAGGGAAUCUUCCACAAUGGGCGAAAGCCUGAUGGAGCAACGCCGCGUGUGUGAUGAAGGCGUUCGGGUCGUAAAGCACUGUUGUAUGGGAAGAACAGCUAGAAUAGGAAAUGAUUUUAGUUUGACGGUACCAUACCAGAAAGGGACGGCUAAAUACGUG